Molecule: non-coding RNA, 96 nt
Organism: Acanthosepion pharaonis
Lineage: Eukaryota; Metazoa; Mollusca; Cephalopoda; Sepiida; Sepiidae
Source: the annotation of a GenBank genome assembly
UUUAAACACUGGUUCCAUAUAAUCACUGAAGUUAAGCAAUAUUGAGCCUAGUCAGUACCUAGAUGAGUGACCACUUGGAAUACCAGGUGCUGUAAG